RNAcentral lists this non-coding RNA (55 nucleotides) under Pectinatus haikarae. Lineage: Bacteria; Bacillati; Bacillota; Negativicutes; Selenomonadales; Selenomonadaceae. The record is from RNAcentral.
CCGACCUCUAAGCUAAGCUUACUGAUGAGCCUGUGGAAUUCAGGCGAAAGGAUAU